This 523-nucleotide non-coding RNA is filed under the name Aspergillus clavatus NRRL 1. RNAcentral describes it as "Bacterial large subunit ribosomal RNA". It matches the Rfam family "Bacterial large subunit ribosomal RNA", at positions 1 to 784 of the family's 2925-position model. Lineage: Eukaryota; Fungi; Ascomycota; Eurotiomycetes; Eurotiales; Aspergillaceae. The record is from Rfam by way of RNAcentral.
GGCAAGUAUAUAAAGAAAUUAUUAUGGAUAAUUAGCUAUAUAUUAAAGAAUAUCUAGUCAAUCUAGUUUCUAAGAGAAAUCAGAUAAUAAACGAAGUGAAUUGAAAUAUCUUAGUAACUUCAGGAAAAGAAAUCAAACGAGAUUGUUAUUUGGUGUAAACUAAAUAACAAAAGCCUAAAAACAAAACUUGUUAAAGUAAAACGGAUUAAAGUCUGUUUGAAUAAAGGGGAACCUUCCUCUAAGGCUAAAGAUGAUAUAUAAGCGAUAGUGAAAAGUACCGUGAGGUAAAAUUUGAAAUAGUAAUUUUAUAAGCAGCUCGAGUGAAAUUUAAAUAAAAAAUAAGAGCGUACCUUUUGCAUAAUGGGUCAGCAAGUUAAUUUUAGAUGCAAGCAAUGAUUUCAUGCACUUCAGGCAUGAAACUAGCUUAGAUAAACCAAUUAUGAAAAAAUGAAUAAGUAUCUAGAAUUAGACCCGAAGGCUAGUGAUCUUACCAUGGUCAGGGUUAUAAAAGCCCGAACGGGUU